UGUCCCCUUCUAAUCCCAGCUUCUCUCCUCUGCUUAGUUCAGUCCCAUUAACAAUGAUGCAUUGAUUUUUGGCCAAGAUAUGGCUGACCUCCAAAGCAACACCAAAUGGGAUGAGGACCUAUUCUAAGACUUUUUCCUCUCAUCACCAACCAAAACUCCUGGUAUCUGCUGGUUACCUUGAAGGAGAAAUUCUGAGGUCAGUCAUUUGUGCCUGGAGGAGGACAAUAGAAGCCCUGUGUAUCAUGUUCUUCUGGCUUUCUAGGGCAAGGAAUUGUGUCUACAUUGGCCCUUGAGAGCAGUCGAAACUUAUUUACAAGACAGACAAUGCCAUGCCUUGACUUCUUGUGCCUUAACCCUAGAGAUGAAAUACCUUUGUUUCUGCUGCAUUGUUUCAGCGUAAACAAGACCAGCCCAUAUCAAGGACUGAAAAAGAAUCUUUCUUCUUGAUGCAGAGGAGCUAUAAUCACAUUACAAAACAUGUGCAUACAGGGAGGACUGUGGGAUUGUGGAUAGUUUCACAAUUGAUCUGCCACAGAGCUUAAGAAAGCAAAAGGUUACUCAGAGACAUAAAAUCUGUGAGGUGAGUUGCAUAACCUAUGUGACUGACUUCAUAAAUUUUUGACAGAACCAUCACGUUUAUGAAAGUCAGAAGCAACUUUCCUCCUCUGGGAAAGAAGAAUAGGAUGGGAUGGUAUAGCACAUCCUCCCACCCCCUUUCCAGUGCUGUGACGAUGGCCACACACUGUCCCUAAUACCUUUAAUUUGUGUUGGAUGGAGUCAAUGGGAUGAAAUUAACCAGAUAGAAAGAAAAUGUCAGGGUACAAAUGUGGUGGCAUAGGAGCACACCCAGAGUCUCGCUCAGCUUCCUGACUUUGCCAGCUGUUUGUGCCCCCUCUGGAUGGAUGAUCUGAACUUUCCAGGGCACUCAGCUCGAGUUUACUAUUGCCACGCAAGUAUUUAAUACGGGAAAAUUUUAAUCACGUUUGUCUUCGCAUGUUUCGUCCUAACAACAAAUCAUUUUUAAUGGGAGACGAGGGGAUGGCAAAAAAAAAAAAAAAAAAGAAGUAGCAAAUCUUGCCUGGCAUUUUUAUCACCAGGCUCAGAUCUUUGGUCCCAGGGCUGGAUUUGCCACCAACUGCAAAUCAUUCUGAUUGAAUGAGAUGCAUGAGUAUUGGGAAGAGGGCUCAAUCUAAGGCACCCAUGUUGCCCCCCACUUCCCAUGUGUCUACCACCUCCAAGUAAGAAUUUGGGGACAGCUACUAUGUGGCAGCCAUUGUCUUAUUUUAACCCUCUCUAUAAUCUUUCAGAAAAGAUGAUUGUUUUUCUAUCUUAACAUUAUAGAAACUGUUACUCUGAGAUAUCUAGUGACCUGUCCAAGUUCACCCAGCAAGUAAACCACGGAGCAGGAGGUUAAACCCAGGUCUGUUUAACUUUAGAGCUUGUGUCUGUAACCAUGGCACCAGGCUGCUCCUCUUUACAAAUCAUAAGACAUUUCAAAUCUCUUUAUAUUAUAAUUUCCCUUGGAGAAGUCUGUUUUCCUACAUGUUUACAUACACAGAAAGACUCCUUCACUGUGAAUAAAUAAGUCACUCAACGCAUUGUGUCUGAGCUCUGGAGGGGCCAAGACAAGACACCAGGUCUCUUGACAGCCUAUCCAGGCUCCCUCUAUUAAAAAACAGAAAACAUGGACCUUUGCCUUUAAUAAAAAGGGCAGAUCCCUAUGAUCCCUGACCCUGAAUAACCCCUUGCCUGGCUCACUUGAGGUGUAUAGAUCUCUACAGUAAAAAGACAACUGUUUCUAGUACUCCAAAGGAAAUCCAUGUUUCUCAGAUGAUGAUGAGUCAUAUAACUUCUACUUAUUUUAUUCUUCAAUUAUACCUACCUUUUCAGUUCUACAAAUACCACUUGACUACAUCUGGAAAAUUUCAAUGCAAUUCCAAGACCUCAUAACAUUUUACUCAAAGACGCUUUCGUGAACAUCUCCAACAGAUGACUCAUUUUGAAUUCAACAUAUUCAGAAUCAUAGAGCUUAUUGUGUCCUCAGUUUAUUCAUUUGUACAGUACAUGAAACGCUGAGAAAGCUCAUUAAAGAGUCAUAAAUGAGGAACUGCAGUCAAAGAUGUAGGUGAAGUGUCAGGAAAUAUUGCUGCAUAAAUCUGGGGGUAGGACAAUUUCAACCAAAGGCAGGUGAUCAGCAGCAUCAAAUAUUAUCAAAAAUGAAAGUAAGAUAAAAGGCUAAAAGUGACAAUUGAAUUUCCUAUGGGGGAGGGUGGGUCCCUAGGUGUCAUCAGAGCUAUUCUGAUGCUACUGUGUUGUUGAAAGCCAGAUGAUAGAGGAAGUAAAGGGUAAAGUAAAAAUAAAUAGGAUAGAGUAUAUUUUAUAAAAGUUCAACUGAGUAGUAGAAAGUUCGGGAAGUUUCUACUCUUGGAAGAUGCCAAGAAUGAAUGGUUGCUCUUAACGAGGGGGAAGCAUGACUUUAUAGUUGUAAGGGGAGACACAUUUAAAAUGGUGAGAUUGAAAGUAUACAGGAGAUAAGGGACAAUUGGCGGAAUAAGAUCUUGCCAAAGAGAAGACUUGGUAUAACAGUGUGUGGCAAUGAGUUGGAAUUAGAAAGGGGGCAGAGUUCUACAACCUAGCCCAUGUAUGUUGAGCUCAUCUUAGGUGUGCUGUUCAGGACAAUGGGAGAUAUGAUGGAAAAGAAGUCCUGGCCUUAAACUCUAGUUUCCCAUAGCUUGUUGCAUGCUAAGAACCAAAGAAAUCCACAGUUAUGGUGAUAUGAUGCGUGGGAACUGCACCAGUUCUGCAGAAAAGAUCAAAGAGGAAUGCCCAGAAGAAAAACUGGGGCUUACAUACAAGUGGCAGCAUGAGAGGAAGAAGAAAAGUGUUCUUAGAAGAAGGAAUGAUGUUUGCAAAGGCCUGGAGGCCAGAGCAAGUGUGAUCUACCUUCCACCUCCAGAAAGAGCUGAUAUAGCAAGGGAUGGGUAAGGAUGCAGCUGAGUUUGCAGGUGAAAGGGACAGUUGCCAGAGUGCCAGGUAUGAUGAAUGGAACAAUGUAUGUUUUAUUGGAGAGUCUGGUGCUGGGAGAGCACAUGGAGGUGAUAGAGAUACACUGAGGAAAGGACACAGGAAUGGCGAUGAGAUGGGUCAGCUACGGGCCUGAAGGACAAGCCGUGAUUUCUAUGCUAUAAAAGUUUGUCUACUUCUCAUCUCCACUGUUAUCAGUUAAUCCAAGUGAUUCUCGUCUCUCCAGGUCCACCAUAAGAGCCUCCCCUUUGAUCUCUGCCCAUCCAUUCUUAACCCUUCUAUUUCCUUCUCUAUGCAACAGUCUUUUAAAUAUCACAGAUUGCAUGCCCAGACUUGUACAGCUGCCCUUAGAAGAAAAUCUCUGUCUUUUGCCACAUCCUACAAAGUCCUGUGUGAUUUCUUUGCCCCGACCACAGCCUCAUCCAGAGACUCUUGUUCCUCCUGCUCUAGCCAUGCUGCUCCCUUCUGCUGCUCCACUGCCCCUUCCCUUCCCUUCAUCCCUUUGCAGAUGCGAUCUGCUGUGAGUGGACCACUCUGACCCCUCUCCAGCCUAGCUGACCCUACACAAAACCCUCUUUAAACUGCAGAAUGGCCACAUGACCCUCCUCACAGCACUCACAGUACUACACCAUUUCAUUUAUUGUGGGCACUUAAUAAAGGGACAGUUUUACAUCUCAGUGUCUAAUUAUUAUGCUGACACCCCUCUUAACGACUCCUGUAAGAUCUGUGAGAGCAGGAACAGCAUCUGUUUCCCUCUUUAUCAGUGUGACCCCAAGACACAUCUGACACACAUUAGGCACUCAACAAAUACUUUAUCAAGGAGUAGAUAGAUACACGGAUAUUAGCAAUCCUUGAAAAACUAUUGUAUCCUUAGCAAACCCAUAAGACUAAUUUAAUACAGUUUCAUCUAAGAAAGGGCAGAUUUUCUCUCCCAAGCAUAUGUAUAUGAAGGUUUUCAUCUUUUUGUGUAGAUAUAUCAACUCUUUACACGCCCAUGGACAUCUGUGGGUGUGCACAACCACAACUACAAUAAACACGUCACUUCGACAGGAGAGAGAAGGCACGCUUUCAUCAAACCCAGGCAUGCAAACAGGAGGUAAAGCCUCCCUCGUUGCUUUAGCGCACAUGUUUAUUGAUGAUGCAGAUUAAACUUUAAUCAUAUUGCACAGUUUCAAUUUCCAAUUGAAAUUGAAAGUCUGAGCCACGCACGGGCUUUUAUUACCGUCCACUUACACUGCUGAUGGAACCGAUCAGAGGGGAGCCAUCUUCCUGGGCCGCAGGUGGGACAACUGGACCAUAAAUCAGAGUAAUGCUGUGAUACAGGAGAGGAAGCAAGGCAUGAUAAAAGAUGAGGAGUGUUAGGGGCAAUUUAGUGAGUGAGGGGCCUCAUCAUCAGGUCAGGAAAGUGUACGGGGCGACAGGGCUGCCGUGAGGAGGGAGGGGAGACGCUCAGUCAUCUCCCCAGUGCGUGCCAGCAGGCAGCACUUCUAAAAGCAAAAGAAAACACAGUUCAAACCAUGCUUUCCAAACAAGAUGCCAUCGCCGGAGUCCUAACCAAGAAAAAUACGGCUUUUGCAUGUGAGUGUUUUAAAAUAUGAAUUCCUGAAAAUAGCAGGCAGGGCAGACAAGGAUUUCAAUUGAGGUCAAACCAGAAGGCUUGUUUUUAGUGUGUAUCUAGUAUUGUAAUAGCACGUGUUGUUAAAAAUAUGACUGUUUAUAUCCUCACAACGCAGAGCAUCAGUUCCCCGCUCCUCCUCCUCUGCUCCUCUUCCUCCUUCUCUUUGUCUUCCUCCUCCUCCUCUUCUUGUUUUGUCUCCUACUGGAAGCGUCACUUAUCUCUUUGGGGAGAUAUCUAUGAAGUUAUCAUGGGUAUACAGGAGGUAGUAGAUCAAGAAGUAGAAGUUAAGCAAGCUUUUGUGUUCAUAGGGGAGAAUUAUAUCACUUAAGUAGCAUUUACUGAGUAGUUACUAUGCGCCAAGCACUUCUCUAGUUUGCGUAAGAGCUAUAUGAAGUAUUACUAAGAAUCAAUAAGUGUACAGUAUUCAUUUGCCACUCAGUGUACGGCAAGCACCCAAUACAUGCUAGAUCUUGUUUAUCGCUACUGUUCCAUUGUACUGUUGGUAAGAAUAAAGACAAGAGGGUGAGACAAAUUAGCCAAGGUCACACAGCGGGAAGAAGCAUGGCUGUGAUUGACAGUAAGGUGUCUGCCCUCACUUAGCCCCCAUACCCUGCUGUCUCCUCCUCUAGAAACCCUCCUCCGAGAUAGAUGAUGCAUUGCUGUUAAUUACACUCAUGCCGCUGUGUCAUAGAACUUAUUCCUCCCAUUAAAGUAUAACAUUGUACCCAUCGAAAGGCUUGUCCUCUCCUCCUUCCCUACC
This is a long non-coding RNA of Cavia porcellus (domestic guinea pig), 5402 nucleotides long. RefSeq lists it as uncharacterized. NCBI's taxonomy places the organism in Eukaryota, Metazoa, Chordata, Mammalia, Rodentia, Caviidae. The record is from RefSeq and is a predicted model, not a curated record. The transcript is spliced from 3 exons.